This 73-nucleotide transfer RNA is filed under the name Vicugna pacos (alpaca). Its description in RNAcentral is "tRNA-Ala (AGC) (tRNA-Ala-AGC-680-1)". It matches the Rfam family "tRNA". Rfam says of the family: Transfer RNA (tRNA) molecules are approximately 80 nucleotides in length. Their secondary structure includes four short double-helical elements and three loops (D, anti-codon, and T loops). Further hydrogen bonds mediate the characteristic L-shaped molecular structure. tRNAs have two regions of fundamental functional importance: the anti-codon, which is responsible for specific mRNA codon recognition, and the 3' end, to which the tRNAs corresponding amino acid is attached (by aminoacyl-tRNA synthetases). tRNAs cope with the degeneracy of the genetic code in two manners: having more than one tRNA (with a specific anti-codon) for a particular amino acid; and 'wobble' base-pairing, i.e. permitting non-standard base-pairing at the 3rd anti-codon position. The record is from RNAcentral. Lineage: Eukaryota; Metazoa; Chordata; Mammalia; Artiodactyla; Camelidae.
GGAGGGUGUAGCUCAGGGGUAGAGUGUGUGCUUAGCAUGCACGAGGUCCUGGGUUCAAUCCCCAGUACCUCCA